This 281-nucleotide ribosomal RNA is filed under the name uncultured bacterium. RNAcentral's name for it is "partial 16S ribosomal RNA". It matches the Rfam family "Bacterial small subunit ribosomal RNA", at positions 28 to 301 of the family's 1533-position model. The record is from RNAcentral.
GAUGAACGCUAGCGGCAGGCUUAAUACAUGCAAGUCGAGGGGCAGCGGGUUCCGCAGCAAUGCGGGAUGCCGGCGACCGGCGCACGGGUGCGUAACACGUAUGCAACCUACCUAUAACUGGAGAAUAGCCCGGAGAAAUCCGGAUUAACACUCCAUAUUAUCACGAAGAGGCAUCUCUUUGUGCUGAAAGCUCCGGCGGUUAUAGAUGGGCAUGCGCCGAUUAGCUAGUUGGUGAGGUAACGGCUCACCAAGGCAACGAUCGGUAGGGGAUCUGAGAGGAU